RNAcentral lists this ribosomal RNA (253 nucleotides) under uncultured bacterium. Its description in RNAcentral is "partial 16S ribosomal RNA". It matches the Rfam family "Bacterial small subunit ribosomal RNA", at positions 524 to 776 of the family's 1533-position model. The record is from RNAcentral.
UACGUAGGUGGCAAGCGUUGUCCGGAUUUACUGGGCGUAAAGAGCGCGCAGGCGGUCGUUCAAGUCGCGUGUGAAAGCCCCCGGCUCAACUGGGGAGGGUCACGCGAUACUGAUCGACUCGAAGGCAGGAGAGGGAAGUGGAAUUCCCGGUGUAGUGGUGGAAUGCGUUGAUAUCGACCGGAACUCCGGUGGCGAAGGCGAGGUGCUGGGCCCUUUCUGACGCUGAUGCGCGAAAGCCAGGGGAGCAAACGGG